This 175-nucleotide unclassified non-coding RNA is filed under the name Glomeromycotina sp. RNAcentral describes it as "partial contains small subunit ribosomal RNA, internal transcribed spacer 1, and 5.8S ribosomal RNA". The stretch from base 1 to 47 matches the Rfam family "Eukaryotic small subunit ribosomal RNA", at positions 1785 to 1831 of the family's 1831-position model. Lineage: Eukaryota; Fungi; Glomeromycota. The record is from RNAcentral.
AAAGUCGUAACAAGGUUUCCGUAGGUGAACCUGCGGAAGGAUCAUUAUCAAUAUAGCGAACCGAGCGUUAGCGAGGCUUCGCGAUCAAAUUUGUAUUUAAAACCCAACUCUUUAAAUGUAUAAUGUAUUUUAAAUAAUAAAAAGAUCACUUUCAACAACGGAUCUCUUGGCUCUC